This 228-nucleotide transfer RNA is filed under the name Sorghum bunchy shoot phytoplasma. RNAcentral describes it as "transfer RNA-Ile". The stretch from base 86 to 156 matches the Rfam family "tRNA". Lineage: Bacteria; Bacillati; Mycoplasmatota; Mollicutes; Acholeplasmatales; Acholeplasmataceae. The record is from RNAcentral.
CCUCCUUUCUAAGGAAUUUUAUUUUAUCACUCUUCAGUUUUGAAAGACUUAAUAAAAUAAAAUUUUUUCUUACCUUAAAGUUAAAGGGCCUAUAGCUCAGUUGGUUAGAGCACACGCUUGAUAAGCGUGAGGUCAUUGGUUCAAUUCAUUUAGCCAAAUUUUUAUAGGUUUUAAUUUAAAAAAAGUUUUUUGAAAAUUAGAUAAAAAAAUUGUUUUAUAAAUUAAAGG